UCAGCUAAGCCCGGAUGGAAUUUCAUGGGAACCCGGUCAGGGUAGGAAUACAGCAGCCGUGCCUUGAGAUUCCAGGCUGGGCUUCCGGCUUAGUU
Molecule: signal recognition particle RNA, 95 nt
Filed under: Neorickettsia helminthoeca str. Oregon
Lineage: Bacteria; Pseudomonadati; Pseudomonadota; Alphaproteobacteria; Rickettsiales; Anaplasmataceae
Description: Bacterial small signal recognition particle RNA
Rfam family: Bacterial small signal recognition particle RNA (bases 6-88)
About the family: The signal recognition particle (SRP) is a universally conserved ribonucleoprotein involved in the co-translational targeting of proteins to membranes. Archaeal SRP consists of a 7S RNA and homologues of the eukaryotic SRP19 and SRP54 proteins. In most bacteria, the SRP consists of a 4.5S RNA and the Ffh protein (a homologue of the eukaryotic SRP54 protein).
Source: Rfam by way of RNAcentral